Alexandromys fortis (reed vole) is the source of this 2985-nucleotide long non-coding RNA. RefSeq lists it as uncharacterized. The record is from RefSeq and is a predicted model, not a curated record. The transcript has 3 exons. NCBI's taxonomy places the organism in Eukaryota, Metazoa, Chordata, Mammalia, Rodentia, Cricetidae.
GUUUGUCAUUGACUUUGAGUGUGAUUCCAACAUUUUCCUGGUGACACCUAUGUUGGCAUCACGGCACAUGCCAUCUAGUGUGAAGAUUAUAAUUUCGCCUUCAGCUGCUUCGCAUUGUGUUUUCACUGAACUGUCGGGCUGCACUGUGAGGGGAUAAUUCCACUGAAUGACCGAUACCAGUGUUGUCCACACGGGUCACUGAUGCUGGUAGAAACAGAUGAGGAGGGCGAAGCUAGGAAUGGUGGUGCCUUUCCAAGUGCAACUCCUGAGCAGCAGAGACAAGCUUUGGAACUGACUGGCUCCAAACAGAGUGGCAAAGAUUGGGAUGAAAAUAGAUCUUCAGAAUAUGACAUUUACAAUGAGGUACAUUUGCUCCUGGCAGCACCAAAUACUUCAAGAGGAAGAAAGGUAUCAGAAAGGCUCCUUACAGAGUUUGUUAGCCAUUUAGGCAAGAAACUGCUCUUGCCUGAACUGUUUGAUGUUAUGCUGUGUGAACUGGACGUGCAGUACCCACAGAGAGAUGACUGCUGAACUUGCCUAAAGGUGAGAUGGUCCUUCAGGGUUUCUGCUUCAUGGAAAAGUCUGCAAGACAUUCUGCAGGACACAGAAGAAAGUGACUGACAAACUGCCAAUAUAGGCAGAACUGUCUUUUAAAUUUCCUGCUUCAUGGAAAAGUCUGCCAGAUACAAUGGGCCUGUAGUCUGAAGAUGGGUGCCCACAACGUUACAGAAGAACUUUGGGUGAUUGUACAGGAAGCCAGAUGUCUGUCAAUUCUAGAGUGUUGGAAGUUGCUUACAGUGCACUUCCUGUUUACUUAAGUAAUAUUAUAUCCUUCUAGAUUCGUUGAUGGAGUUGAAAAAUAGAUAGUUAUAGUUUUCCUUAGUUAUGAUAAAAGAUAAAGUAGAUAUAAAUAUUGUAACUAUAAUUCUUGCUUGAUAACUGCUUUGUUAUAUGUAAUUUUACUAUGUUAAAAUUUAAAUCUUCCUCUUUAUUUAAACAGAAAAGGGGAAAUAACGUGGGAAGUCCUACUGUAUAUGUGUUACUUUUAUUGAUUAAUGAAUAAAGAAGCUGCUUUCAGCUAGUGGCUUAACAGAAUGGAGCUAGGUGGGAAAACUAAACUGAAUGUUGGAAGAAAGAAGGUGGAGUCAGAGACAUUAUGGAGGGGAAAGAUGCGAGCUGCCCACUGGAACCUUGCCAGUAAGCCACAGUCACGUGGUGAUACACAGAUUAAUAGAAAUGGGCUAACCAAAGAUAUAAGAGCUAACUAGCAAUACACUUAAGUGAUUGGCCAAGUAGUGAUUUAAAUAAUAUAGUUUCUGUGUGAUUAUUUCUAGUCAGGAUGCUCUGGAAAUAAACAAGUGGCCUCCUACAACACAAGACUGCACACCUUUAAAGUACAAAGGGAAGAUUUGGUUUGGAGCAGAAGGGUUAUUGGAAGUUGAACCCAGGGCACACUUGCUAGAUAGGUAGUCUAUUGUUGAGCUACAACAUCAAAUUCUUUUUUUUAAUUAUUACCUAUUUUGAGCUAGGGCCUCAUUCAAUUGAUCCUGGAGCUUACUUUAUAACAUAAGCAAGCCUUGAGCCUGUCAUCCUCCCACCUCAACCUCGCGAGUAGCUGGGAUUACCAGCCUGUAGCAGCAAGUCCAACUUUGCUUUGUGAUUUUUGCCCCUUUUAUAUUUCUUAGGCCUCUUCCUCCUUCUAGAGAGAAGCUCAUUUAUCAUAUAAGGACACUUACCCAGGAAUACCCACCCACAACUUUUACAAUCCCGAAAACUGAAAAGAAAAUGUACUAAACUAAACCACAUCACUUGAAAGGAUGGAUAUCAUAGAGAUAUACAAUGGAAUUAUCUACAGCUUGAAGUGUAUCCACAUAGAUCGCAGAAAUAUAAUGUGGAAAGGGUAUAAAAAGAAAUGAAUAAUAAUGUGUGUCAUAUAAUACCACGUGCAGAUGUAAAUGUAAAAUACAUCAAGGAGCUCUAUCUAUUGCUGGUAGGUACAUCCAUUUGCAGUAAAAGUUCCAAAAUAUAUGGAAGGAUCACACAUCAAAUUCAUGAUGGUCGUUGUCUGCAGGAAAGGCAGGGAAAUGAGGUUUUGAAAGGGAGUAAAAGAAGUCUUCACUUAAUUUUGAAAAUCUAUCUAUCUUUUAAAAUCAGAAGCAAACAUGACACAAUGCUAUCAAUUUUCACUUGAGGCCAGCCCUGGGGGCUCAUACCUUUAAUCUCAGCACUCAAGAAACAGAGACAGGGAGAUCUCUGUGAGUCUGAGGCCAGCCUGGUCUACUUAGAGAGUUCUUGGCCAGCUAGAACUAUAGAAUGAGACCCUGUUUCAAUAAAACAAAAUUAGGUAAAAAAAAUUUUAGGGUGCCUGCUGAGAUGGCUUAAUGUUAAGUGAGCUUACUGUUUGGCAAAUGAUCUGAGUUAGUUCUUCAUACCCCAAAAGUAAGUCAUGAGUACUUGGAACUCUAGCUCCAGAAAGAACCCAUGUGGUGGCCUCAAAAUGCAACUGCAUUCACAUGCACACACCCACAUGCAGUCACACACAUGCACAUAAUUUAAAAUAAUCCUUUUUUAAAUCUACUAUUUGACAUGGAUAGAGGGUAUAUGUAUUACUUUUUUCUAUAUUGAAUUGUAUUCUGACUUAAAAUACACACACACAUACUUUCUCCAACUCCAAUAUUACAUACAAAUUCAUUAUGUGUUAUUCUAAACUUUUGUGAUAUUUCUUAAAAUUCUGUUUUGUAUCCAGAAGGAACCCAGCCUAACAUUUUCAAAAAUAAGUUGCUAACACUGUCUAUCAUUCUGUGUUUCCUUAUCAUACUAUAGUUAUUGGCUUACACCCUUUUCUCCUCCGUGAGAUACUGUCAGACAAUAGUCUUGUACACUGUAAAGAUUUGUCACUUGUAUUGAUUUAAUAAAACACUGAUUGGCCAAUAGACAAACAGGAAGUAUAGGCAGGGUGACCAAAAUAGAAGAAUUCUGAGAAGA